RNAcentral lists this ribosomal RNA (2997 nucleotides) under Salmonella enterica subsp. enterica serovar Heidelberg str. SL476. RNAcentral describes it as "bacterial LSU rRNA". It matches the Rfam family "Bacterial large subunit ribosomal RNA". The record is from RNAcentral. Lineage: Bacteria; Pseudomonadati; Pseudomonadota; Gammaproteobacteria; Enterobacterales; Enterobacteriaceae.
ACUAAGCGUACACGGUGGAUGCCCUGGCAGUCAGAGGCGAUGAAGGGCGUGCUAAUCUGCGAUAAGCGCCGGUAAGGUGAUAUGAACCGUUAUAACCGGCGAUACCCGAAUGGGGAAACCCAGUGUGACUCGUCACACUAUCAUUAACUGAAUCCAUAGGUUAAUGAGGCGAACCGGGGGAACUGAAACAUCUAAGUACCCCGAGGAAAAGAAAUCAACCGAGAUUCCCCCAGUAGCGGCGAGCGAACGGGGAGGAGCCCAGAGCCUGAAUCAGCAUGUGUGUUAGUGGAAGCGUCUGGAAAGGCGCGCGAUACAGGGUGACAGCCCCGUACACAAAAGCGCAUGUGCUGUGAGCUCGAUGAGUAGGGCGGGACACGUGGUAUCCUGUCUGAAUAUGGGGGGACCAUCCUCCAAGGCUAAAUACUCCUGACUGACCGAUAGUGAACCAGUACCGUGAGGGAAAGGCGAAAAGAACCCCGGCGAGGGGAGUGAAAAAGAACCUGAAACCGUGUACGUACAAGCAGUGGGAGCCCCACCACCAAAGCAUUCUCUGGUGUUGAAGGCCCUGCAAAGCAGCAUCGCGGUGGCGGAGCGUCGUUUGCGACGCCCAACACACAAAACAAGCGGUGAAUGCUUUGGGGUGGGGUGACUGCGUACCUUUUGUAUAAUGGGUCAGCGACUUAUAUUCUGUAGCAAGGUUAACCGAAUAGGGGAGCCGGAGGGAAACCGAGUCUUAAUUGGGCGUUAAGUUGCAGGGUAUAGACCCGAAACCCGGUGAUCUAGCCAUGGGCAGGUUGAAGGUUGGGUAACACUAACUGGAGGACCGAACCGACUAAUGUUGAAAAAUUAGCGGAUGACCUGUGGCUGGGGGUGAAAGGCCAAUCAAACCGGGAGAUAGCUGGUUCUCCCCGAAAGCUAUUUAGGUAGCGCCUCGUGAAUUCAUCUCCGGGGGUAGAGCACUGUUUCGGCUAGGGGGCCAUCCCGGCUUACCAACCCGAUGCAAACUGCGAAUACCGGAGAAUGUUAUCACGGGAGACACACGGCGGGUGCUAACGUCCGUCGUGAAGAGGGAAACAACCCAGACCGCCAGCUAAGGUCCCAAAGUCAUGGUUAAGUGGGAAACGAUGUGGGAAGGCCCAGACAGCCAGGAUGUUGGCUUAGAAGCAGCCAUCAUUUAAAGAAAGCGUAAUAGCUCACUGGUCGAGUCGGCCUGCGCGGAAGAUGUAACGGGGCUAAACCAUGCACCGAAGCUGCGGCAGCGACGCUGAUGCGUUGUUGGGUAGGGGAGCGUUCUGUAAGCCUGCGAAGGUGACCUGUGAGGGUUGCUGGAGGUAUCAGAAGUGCGAAUGCUGACAUAAGUAACGAUAAAGCGGGUGAAAAGCCCGCUCGCCGGAAGACCAAGGGUUCCUGUCCAACGUUAAUCGGGGCAGGGUGAGUCGACCCCUAAGGCGAGGCCGAAAGGCGUAGUCGAUGGGAAACGGGUUAAUAUUCCCGUACUUGGUGUUACUGCGAAGGGGGGACGGAGAAGGCUAUGUUGGCCGGGCGACGGUUGUCCCGGUUUAAGCGUGUAGGUGUGUGUUCCAGGUAAAUCCGGUUCACUUUAACACUGAGGCGUGAUGACGAGGCACUACGGUGCUGAAGCAACAAAUGCCCUGCUUCCAGGAAAAGCCUCUAAGCAUCAGGUAACAUCAAAUCGUACCCCAAACCGACACAGGUGGUCAGGUAGAGAAUACCAAGGCGCUUGAGAGAACUCGGGUGAAGGAACUAGGCAAAAUGGUGCCGUAACUUCGGGAGAAGGCACGCUGACACGUAGGUGAAGUGAUUUACUCACGGAGCUGAAGUCAGUCGAAGAUACCAGCUGGCUGCAACUGUUUAUUAAAAACACAGCACUGUGCAAACACGAAAGUGGACGUAUACGGUGUGACGCCUGCCCGGUGCCGGAAGGUUAAUUGAUGGGGUCAGCGCAAGCGAAGCUCCUGAUCGAAGCCCCGGUAAACGGCGGCCGUAACUAUAACGGUCCUAAGGUAGCGAAAUUCCUUGUCGGGUAAGUUCCGACCUGCACGAAUGGCGUAAUGAUGGCCAGGCUGUCUCCACCCGAGACUCAGUGAAAUUGAACUCGCUGUGAAGAUGCAGUGUACCCGCGGCAAGACGGAAAGACCCCGUGAACCUUUACUAUAGCUUGACACUGAACAUUGAGCCUUGAUGUGUAGGAUAGGUGGGAGGCUUUGAAGUGUGGACGCCAGUCUGCAUGGAGCCGACCUUGAAAUACCACCCUUUAAUGUUUGAUGUUCUAACGUGGACCCGUUACCCGGGUUGCGGACAGUGUCUGGUGGGUAGUUUGACUGGGGCGGUCUCCUCCUAAAGAGUAACGGAGGAGCACGAAGGUUGGCUAAUCCUGGUCGGACAUCAGGAGGUUAGUGCAAUGGCAUAAGCCAGCUUGACUGCGAGCGUGACGGCGCGAGCAGGUGCGAAAGCAGGUCAUAGUGAUCCGGUGGUUCUGAAUGGAAGGGCCAUCGCUCAACGGAUAAAAGGUACUCCGGGGAUAACAGGCUGAUACCGCCCAAGAGUUCAUAUCGACGGCGGUGUUUGGCACCUCGAUGUCGGCUCAUCACAUCCUGGGGCUGAAGUAGGUCCCAAGGGUAUGGCUGUUCGCCAUUUAAAGUGGUACGCGAGCUGGGUUUAGAACGUCGUGAGACAGUUCGGUCCCUAUCUGCCGUGGGCGCUGGAGAACUGAGGGGGGCUGCUCCUAGUACGAGAGGACCGGAGUGGACGCAUCACUGGUGUUCGGGUUGUCAUGCCAAUGGCACUGCCCGGUAGCUAAAUGCGGAAGAGAUAAGUGCUGAAAGCAUCUAAGCACGAAACUUGCCCCGAGAUGAGUUCUCCCUGAGACUUAAAGUCUCCUGAAGGAACGUUGAAGACGACGACGUUGAUAGGCCGGGUGUGUAAGCGCAGCGAUGCGUUGAGCUAACCGGUACUAAUGAACCGUGAGGCUUAACC